RNAcentral lists this unclassified non-coding RNA (520 nucleotides) under uncultured Paraglomus. Its description in RNAcentral is "SSU rRNA". It matches the Rfam family "Eukaryotic small subunit ribosomal RNA", at positions 569 to 1099 of the family's 1831-position model. Lineage: Eukaryota; Fungi; Glomeromycota; Glomeromycetes; Paraglomerales; Paraglomeraceae. The record is from RNAcentral.
AGCAGCCGCGGUAAUUCCAGCUCCAAUAGCGUAUAUUAAAGUUGUUGUGGUUAAAAGCUCGUAGUUGAACCUUGGGCCUGGCUGGCCGGUCCGCCUCACCGCGUGUACUGGUCCGGCCGGGUCUUUCCCUCUGUGGAACCCCAUGCCCUUCACUGGGUGUAGCGGGGAAACAGGACUUUUACUUUGAAAAAUUAGAGUGCUCCAGGCAGGCCUAUGCUCGAAUACAUUAGCAUGGAAUAAUAGAAUAGGACGUGCGGUUCUAUUUUGUUGGUUUCUAGGACCUCCGUAAUGAUUAAUAGGGACAGUCGGGGGCAUCAGUAUUCAAUUGUCAGAGGUGAAAUUCUUGGAUUUAUUGAAGACUAACUACUGCGAAAGCAUUUGCAAGGAUGUUUUCAUUAAUCAGGAACGAAAGUUAGGGAUCGAAGACGAUCAGAUACCGUCGUAGUCUUAACAUAACUAUGACGACUAGGGAUCGGACGAUGUUAUUUUUGACUUCGUUCGGCUACCGUUACGGGAAACC